UGCCAGACUCCUACGGGAGGCAGCAGUGGGGAAUAUUGCGCAAUGGGGGCAACCCUGACGCAGCAACGCCGCGUGAUUGAAGAAGGCCUUCGGGUUGUAAAGAUCUUUAAUCAGGGACGAAAAAUGACGGUACCUGAAGAAUAAGCUCCGGCUAACUACGUGCCAGCAGCCGCGGUAAUACGUAGGGAGCAAGCGUUAUCCGGAUUUACUGGGUGUAAAGGGCGUGUAGGCGGGCUUGUAAGUCAGAAGUGAAAUCUGGGGGCUUAACCCGUGAACUGCUUUUGAAACUGUAGGGCUUGAGUGAAGGAGAGGCAGGCGGAAUUCCCGGUGUAGCGGUGAAAUGCGUAGAGAUCGGGAGGAACACCAGUGGCGAAGGCGGCCUGCUGGGCUUUAACUGACGCUGAAGCACGAAAGCGUGGGUAGCAAACAGGAUUAGAUACCCGUGUA
RNAcentral lists this ribosomal RNA (447 nucleotides) under uncultured bacterium. Its description in RNAcentral is "bacterial SSU rRNA". It matches the Rfam family "Bacterial small subunit ribosomal RNA", at positions 329 to 792 of the family's 1533-position model. The record is from RNAcentral.